This 251-nucleotide unclassified non-coding RNA is filed under the name uncultured Basidiomycota. Its description in RNAcentral is "sequence contains ITS1". The record is from RNAcentral. Lineage: Eukaryota; Fungi; Basidiomycota.
UUGAAUAAAUCUGGCAUGGUAGAUGCUGACUCUUCGGAGUAUGUGCUCACCCGUCACCUUUAUCUUUCCACCUGUGAACCCUUUGUAGUCCCAGGAUACUCUCGCGCACUCUGUGUUGCGGAUGCGAAGGUUGUUGUGCCUUUUAGGUCGACUUCCCUCGAAUUUCCUGGGUCUAUGUAUCUUACACACCCCAACUGUAUGUUAAAAAGAAUGUUGAUUUCAAAGGCCUACAAGCCUAUAGAAACUCAAUA